AUAUCAAUAAGCGGAGGAAAAGAAACCAACAGGGAUUGCCUCAGUAACGGCGAGUGAAGCGGCAAAAGCUCAAAUUUGAAAUCUGGUAGUUUUUAACUGCUCGAGUUGUAAUUUGAAGAGCUUAACCUUGGGCACAGGCUCUGUCUAUGUUUCUUGGAACAGGACGUCACAGAGGGUGAGAAUCCCGUGAGGUGGGGCUAUUGUGUUCUUGUAGGUUUUGUUCGACGAGUCGAGUUGUUUGGGAAUGCAGCUCUAAGUGGGUGGUAAAUUCCAUCUAAAGCUAAAUAUUGGCGAGAGACCGAUAGCGAACAAGUACAGUGAUGGAAAGAUGAAAAGAACUUUGAAAAGAGAGUGAAAAAGUACGUGAAAUUGUUGAAAGGGAAGGGCAUUAGAUGAGACUUGGUAAUUCAGGCACAUCCUCCUCUUGUAGGGGGUGCACUCCUGAUAUUACUGGGCCAGCAUCGAUUCGCGCGGUGGGAUAAUGCUUCUUGAAUGUGGCUACAUUUUUUGUGUAGUGUUAUAGCUUGGAGAGAUACUGCCAGUGUGGAUCGAGGCUUGCGUCUUUUUAGACUAGGAUGCUGGCGUAAUGAUCUAAUGUCGCCCGUCUUGAAACACGGACCAAGGAGUCUAACGUCUAUGCGAGUGUUUGGGUGUAAAACCCGUACGCGUAAUGAAAGUGAAUGCAGAUGGGAGUGAGUAAAAUCAUGCACCAUCGACCGAUCCUGAAGUUUUCAGAUGGAUUUGAGUAAGAGCAUAGCUGUUGGGACCCGAAAGAUGGUGAACUAUGCCUGAAUAGGGUGAAGCCAGAGGAAACUCUGGUGGAGGCUCGUAGCGGUUCUGACGUGCAAAUCGAUCGUCGAAUUUGGGUAUAGGGGCGAAAGACUAAUCGAACCAUCUAGUAGCUGGUUCCUGCC
This 914-nucleotide ribosomal RNA is filed under the name Liangdongia dryadoides. Its description in RNAcentral is "Starmera dryadoides partial large subunit ribosomal RNA". It matches the Rfam family "Eukaryotic large subunit ribosomal RNA", at positions 40 to 962 of the family's 3401-position model. Lineage: Eukaryota; Fungi; Ascomycota; Saccharomycetes; Phaffomycetales; Wickerhamomycetaceae. The record is from RNAcentral.